CAAAUUAGAGCUUGUUAAAGUUUUUUAUUUACAUUAAAAAGAUAGUUGUUAAAUUCAAUUUAAUUUGA
This 68-nucleotide transfer RNA is filed under the name Staphylinidae sp. BMNH 1274145. Its description in RNAcentral is "tRNA-Val". Lineage: Eukaryota; Metazoa; Arthropoda; Insecta; Coleoptera; Staphylinidae. The record is from RNAcentral.